AUUAAGCCCUAUUAAGAUAGUUGUAGUAUGCGUAAGUAGAGAUCGUUCUAGGUUGGGGAUUAGUUAGAGAUGCUAAUCAACACAAAUGAAACUUAAAAACUGAAAACUACACUCUAAAACAUAAAACUAAACGUAAACUACUCAAAAUAGCCUAAACUGACUCAAAACACACAAACUAAGUUAAAUUGACUCAAAACAAGAACUAAGGGGUGAUUUGGACGAAAAUUGAACUAGAAAGACUCAAAACACUAAAAAGAACCUAGUUUGGACAUAUUAUAACCUAAAGACAUGAAAUAUAAAGGGGAAUUGGUUUUUGACGAAUUUAAGACUCAAACUAAACAGAUUUAAGACUCUAAAUAACUUUGGACGAAAUUGGUGAUUUAAUGGGUGAAUGGCUAGCUAGAGGGUCAUUCUCCACACAUGACACAUAUGCAUACAAAUCAAUCUCCAGUUAUUCUUCUUAUAAACUAUGAAUGACAAUGCCCCAAAUUAAUCGUGAGAAGCACAAAUGAACUUUCAGAUUUUCCUAAAUUCAUUGAAUUGGACUCAGCGAUGCAAUCAAAUUAUUCUUAUCAAGUUCCCUACAUGAACAGCAUAAUAGGGAUACAUAUCAAAGAUCAUUAAGUUCUAUGAAAACCAUAAGCAUUGACAAGGCAUUCAUAACUAUGAACUACAUGAUACUCCUGCCAAGAAUUCACUUAACACGAUCAUGACUAGUGACCUCCACUACUUAUAAAUAUAAGUUCAUAACUAUUAAGUGAAACUCCCUUAUAUCUUAGCAUCAAAUUAAUGCAUGCAAACUAAGUAGGCCUCCUUAAUCAACACACGAGAACAAGUUAUCAAUCAAACAGAUAAGUAAAUUGCAUUCACGAUUCAUGAAAUCAUAACUGGAUGUAAUCAAUUCAUAUCACAUAUAUGUUCAUGGCUUUGAAUUCACCUCUAACCAAAACGAAUUUAGUUCCACAUGGUUGCAAUUAAAUAAAAACAAUCUAAUUUAAACAUUGAACUAAAACUAAGGAUAGAAUGCACCUAGAAAACCUCCAGCACUCCAAUGGCCUUGGAUGGCAGGUCACGGCUCCAAGCUCUCCUUCCUUCCUUGCAAACCUACGGCGCAAUUGUGUAUUUUUCUGAUUUUAGGCUCUUGUGUAUGAGGUGCGAAAAUAGGGUCAGAGAUAUGUAUUUAUAGGCUAGGGUUUCAGCACAAAGGUUGUGGAGGAGAAGGAUUACAUAAUCCUAAGGGAAUAGGACUAGGGAAUUCGGCACAAAGCUUCUAGAAAGGGGUUAAAUUCAUCAGAUUCCUAGGGGAAAAGGGAUCAGGUUAUUUGCAUUGUUUCAGGGCUUCUAGAAUCAGAUAUUAGGUAUUCUAAUGUGAUAAGGAGUCCCCCUUAUAGCUGGAAUUAGGUAGGAUAAGAUUAGGAUAGGAUAAGAUAAGAUAAGGUUAGUUUGGAUACUGUUGGAUAAGAUAAGGUUUUGGACAAUGUUCCUUCCUUUUAGCUGAUUCCUUAUCUUCUUUGUCUUGACUUUAUUUUCUUUAUCUCAUCAGCAUAUUCCUAGCCUCUUGAACUUAAAAAACGUCCAUCCACCUUGCUCCAUGCAUGUGCUAUCCAUUCUUGGCCCAAAACUGCUCCAAAUUACACUUUCUUGCCAACUUUAUUAUUUGAACCUGAAAACACACGAAAAUAACUUAAAACACUAUAAUAAACAGAAACUAACUCACUAAAUGCAAGAAAACAAGCUAACUAAGUCGCAUAAAUAUGCUCCUAUCAUGGCAGCCUUAUGGCAUAGGCUUUGGCCUGCUACAACGAGGUAGCCAAACCGUGGGCAGUGGCUACCACGGUGGUGCUUCGUGGGGAUGGUGCCGCUCCACUCAUUGCUGCAUUGAGCCUCAUGGAUUGCCGUGGUCCAAAUCCUUAAAUGUAGGAAGUUCCAUUUGUUAUGGUUUCUGAAUUUCUAGUCAUUGUACUUUUCUUUUACGUUUUAUCAAAGAAUUUUUAAUAAGAAUGUACGAAAAAUCUACAAAUGAACAAGAAAUGAGAAACUUUGAAAUGCGAGAGGCUUCUUCGAGUGUGUGAAUCAAGACUCUCAAUGAAAGCACCAAUUUGUGGAUGCAAAUUUCCUUCUUCUUGGACGAAAAUGUACCUGCAAAACAAUUAACACCUAAGAUCGAAGGCCAAGAGCCUCAAGCGCCCACAAUGAAUUUUUUUUUGGGUGGGGGGGGGGGACUUUGGCCAAAGAAUCUCCAAGGCCAAAGUUAGAAUUUGAGGGAAAAGUGUUUACAGAAAUUUAGAGAAAUUUAGAGAAAUUUAGAAGAGAAUUGAACUUAGGUUUUUUGAGAAAUGAGGGGCUAUAUAAAGGAGUGGCUGGUCCAUAUUUCCCUAUUUGGGGAAAUAGGGACCGGCCACUUAUGGUGGUAAUUUGGCUCUAAUUGCAAGAUAUUAUGCUACAUAAUAUAUUGCAAUCAAUUAGGUAAUUAAUCAAUUAAUUUUGGCAAUUAAUCUCAAUUUGAAAAGAAUAAUUGGGAGUUACCUUGUGGGUGAAGAUUUGAUGAGGAGUGAUGAGAGGGUUUAAAAGAAUACCAUUUUGAUCAUAUUUGACCUUGAUUGAGCUGUUAUUAUCCGUUGCAUGCGCGUGGGAGUCCCAUGCCUCAAGGGUAAUUUUAUCUUUUUUACCCAAAAGUCCACGUGUUGCUUUCAUAUUUUUUUUCUUGAUUAUUUUUUGUUCCACACUUAUGUGAUUAAUGGUUUUUUUGGGGGGGGGGGGGGGGAAGUAAUAUGUGCCGUCGAUUUGGAUAGAUCCAGCAUCGCCUCCCCAUUCAAGAUGAACCAAUUUAAUACAAUACAGAAUCAAGAAACUCGUAUGAGAAGGGAGUUUUCUGAGAAAAAAGAGUUCUACAAAGCCAAAGCUAUACAUUUUGGAGAAAUGGAAAGCAGGACUCUGAAUAUUUUUUACUAAUAAUGAGCAACUUUCGUUUUCAAAGGGAGAAGAUGUUUCUUCAAUAUACUGCAAUAUAUUAGGACCAGGCAUGAAGGUAUUGUAAGAAAAUGUAAAAUGCAGUAUUAAAUAUAUAUAUAUAUAUAUAUAUACAUGGAAAAUGCUGUACCAAAAUGAAGUAAGCUACACAAUGAUUAGUUUGUUUUGUCAAUCACCUCCUAAUUUCAGAUCUCAUGGACGACAGUUGUUUAACAAAUAAAUAGUCAGUGUUUUAAAAAAAUGCAUCUAGAGGCGCGCUAGGCGACUUUGCAGGCAAGCCGACCAUGCAAUCACCUAUGCCCAGCAAAAGUAGGCGAAAACUCACCUAAACAUAGUCGAGGCGCACCUGAGAUGUUCCACUGGCGUCCUUUUUUCCGUUUUAAGUUGCAAGAAUCCAAAAUUUUUUUUUUUUUGAGUUGCAGGGGUCUGCCAAGCGAAGAAGAUGGAGAAGAUGGGAGGUUUUUUCUUCCUAACCUUUUUUUAUGCUUUUUUUUCUCUUUUAAAAUUUAAACUGGCCCCACUUUGUUGACAUUACCCCACUAUCUUUCUUUUUGUUCAAUUUUUUUUAAUAGUAUUUUUUCCUCAUAUACAAGAUAGAUAGAUAAGCAUCUUUUCUUGGAUAUUCUCAUGACAACCUAGCAGGGAGAAAAAAUAAAUGUCUUUUUGUUUUUAUUUCUCUUUUUAAAACUACAUAUCACACCCAAAUAUUACUCAAAACUUUCAUAUACAUACAAUGUUCUAAAAAACGGCAUAGGCGCUGGGCGUUGUCGUCCCGUGGCGAUUUGGGGUAAAACGUUGAAAACGGUAGGCCAUCUAGAUGGCUACUAGGCGGUGGAAGGCAGGCCAGGCGGUGCAGCCCAGACUUGAUUCGACAAACCCAGACGCUACAACCCCAACAAGCUGCAAACCCAGAAGCAGAAGCUUUCACAAUUUCGUACACCUAGAAAGAGAAUACUAAUCCUAAUCUAAGAUUGCCAAGAAGAAUAGAGAGAGAAAAAGCAGAGAGAAAAAAAGAAGGGUGAUGGCUGACUCAACUUCCAUUGCCUUUUGCUAGAGUGUUCUUUGUUUUUUUUGUUUCUUGUUUUUACAGAACUAGAGUGUUCUUUGCAAAUAUUGAAGCAUGGAUGGCCUCUUUGGUUCUGUGCUAAUUGAAUUAGAUACAUUGGGGGCUAUGAGCUGCAGUGGCUUUUGGGUUUCCUUUUACAAUCUCUAGGGCUUAUUUUAUGGAUUUGUACAAAAUAAUUUAUUGCAUAAUUAAAUCCAAUAACUUCCCUUAGAAGCUGGUUUCCCAUAGGCAUUGGAAAGAGAUAAUAUCCAAGCAAUAAAGCCUUCCAAAACCGUUCAGAUUACAAAACAAUUUGUAUUUUGCACAUUUUAUUUAAUUUUUUGCAAAUUUCUAAUACAUUUAGGUGUAAAUAAAUACCUAUUUAUAGGAUAUAUAAUAAAUUUUAUUCAAAUCCGCCUAGGCACUAGGCCCCAUGCCGCCGCCCCACUAGCGCCUAGCAUUUUUUAGAAUCUUGUAUACAUAUAAAUAGUACUUAAGUCUCUAGAUGUCUCGCUCUAUUUGUUUGAUUGUUGAUUAAGUUGAUUGCUUGGUUAAACUUGUUUUUGAUGUGAGUUAAACUUGUUUGUGACGUGUGCACUUUUGACUGACAAUGAAUAUUUGUUUUA
This 4641-nucleotide long non-coding RNA is filed under the name Malus domestica (apple). RNAcentral describes it as "long non-coding RNA (MDOM_LNC003871)". The record is from RNAcentral. Lineage: Eukaryota; Viridiplantae; Streptophyta; Magnoliopsida; Rosales; Rosaceae.